UACAUUGCAGCUUGAAAUUCAGUAGUGUUUAUAUAUCUUGAUGUGAUAAGCGUCAUAUCUACUGGUGUGUGGAUUCCAAAAAACAAACAAGGUUAGCUUCGCUCCAUUGGGUUCAAGUAGUUCCUGCAUCAGCUGAUGAACGUCAGUACGUCCAUUUCAUGCUGUUGAUCAUUGCUGAGAGAGUCAAAUGCACAGGAAUGACCGCCAAGAGAGAACCAAUGAUCUUGAGAUAAUUAUGAGGAACAAAUGGGAACACCACAGACAGAUCAAACUAUAUCACCCAGCUACCAAAGAAAUCAUGGACAAGUCAAAAAAAACUUUCAAAACUGUCAAUGGUGAUGUUAUUGAAUCUGAUAUGAUGAAAUAUUACAUGUAAAUUAAUCUAUCUACAAAUACAUCUUUUAAUUGUGAAGUAAAUAUUUUUAUAAACUAGCGGAAAUUAAUUCGAGUUAUAAGAUGCAGUCUUUUUCAAUACAUUCGCAGGGUUCAGGGCUAGGCAAGCAUCUAUUCUCUUAAUUGCCCAGACUGCAGUUAAAAGUCAAUAACAAUGGUGGUCUGCUAUGGCGGGAUUCAAAGCCACGUCCCCGGGACAUUAACCUGGGGCUCUGAAUUACUAGCUUAAGGACGUUGCCACAACGCCACUGUCUCUCCUUCUCGGAAAUGGAGAGGUUAUGGAAACUCCACGUGACGUUAAAGACAGUAACGAGGCUGAGGUAUAGUGUGGCGAAUAUAGAACUGGUAGGUAUUGGUCAUAGUACGGCCACACCUGUCAACUAGAGCGCACUAGAAAAUAUCAUCCCUCAUCUUAAUUUAUUUCACAUUGCGGCUGACCCCAUACUGUUUGAUCAAAUUCAUUUGUUACUUAAUUCGGAGACAAAUCCAGAUCAUCGCGACCAUUUUACAUACAGGUGCUACCUGAAAUUUGCAGGUUCAACAACCAAUCUGCUCCCUAUAAACAGAAGAAUUUCUACCCUGUUUGAAGGUGCAACAUCAGGCUCUCUGUGGAUACUCAAUGCUCGUACGAAUUCUGUGUACUGUAUACUAGAAAAACAUGGGAUUGCAAUGACGAAAAUCUGACUUUGGUAUGCUUACAUAAUUCAAGUGUGAUUUAUAACACUAGUAGAUUUUUUUUGGAAAGUUGCGUGUUAUUUAUCUUGAUAAAAACACUAAUUAAUGACAUGUUGCUGGUGUUAAACGUUUAAAUAGGUUUUAAAUUUACAACAAAAGAUGUAAUUCGACCUUUAAAUUACUUGAAAGAACAUUUGAAGCCUUUGGCACUAGGUCGACUUUAAACUUCUGAAACCCAGAAAAUAGCUCUCCAACGUAAUUUAUAAGCUUUUAAAAUUAAAUGAUUAUGGCUACGGA
This is a long non-coding RNA of Rhincodon typus (whale shark), 1365 nucleotides long. RefSeq lists it as uncharacterized. The record is from RefSeq and is a predicted model, not a curated record. The transcript has 3 exons. NCBI's taxonomy places the organism in Eukaryota, Metazoa, Chordata, Chondrichthyes, Orectolobiformes, Rhincodontidae.